RNAcentral lists this ribosomal RNA (326 nucleotides) under uncultured bacterium. RNAcentral describes it as "bacterial SSU rRNA". It matches the Rfam family "Bacterial small subunit ribosomal RNA", at positions 373 to 710 of the family's 1533-position model. The record is from RNAcentral.
GGGCGCAAGYNCUGAUGCAGCGACGCCGCGUGCGGGAUGACGGCCUUCGGGUUGUAAACCUCUUUUAUCGGGGAGCAAGCGAGAGUGAGUUUACCCGUUGAAUAAGCACCGGCUAACUACGUGCCAGCAGCCGCGGUAAUACGUAGGUCCCGAGCGUUGUCCGGAUUUAUUGGGCGUAAAGCGAGCGCAGGCGGUUUGAUAAGUCUGAAGUUAAAGGCUGUGGCUCAACCAUAGUUCGCUUUGGAAACUGUCAAACUUGAGUGCAGAAGGGGAGAGUGGAAUUNCCNGNUGUAACGGUGGAAUGUGUAGAUAUCGGGAAGAACACC